Molecule: ribosomal RNA, 252 nt
Filed under: uncultured bacterium
Lineage: Bacteria
Description: partial 16S rRNA
Rfam family: Bacterial small subunit ribosomal RNA
Source: RNAcentral
GUGCCAGCAGCCGCGGUAAUACAGAGGGUGCAAGCGUUGUUCGGAAUUAUUGGGCGUAAAGCGCGUGUAGGCGGCGACGCAUGUCGGGUGUGAAAGCCCUCGGCUUAACCGAGGAAGUGCGCCCGAAACUGCGUUGCUCGAGUGCUGGAGAGGGUAGCGGAAUUCCCGGUGUAGAGGUGAAAUUCGUAGAUAUCGGGAGGAACACCAGUGGCGAAGGCGGCUACCUGGACGGACACUGACGCUGAGACGCGA